Molecule: non-coding RNA, 92 nt
Organism: Marasmius tenuissimus
Lineage: Eukaryota; Fungi; Basidiomycota; Agaricomycetes; Agaricales; Marasmiaceae
Source: the annotation of a GenBank genome assembly
UCCGAUGUGGUGUAGUGGCUGACAUUGCUGUCUUUCAAGCCUUCGAGCGUAUUUAAUCACAGCAGCCCGGGGUUCGAUUCCCCGCAUCGGAA